UACGGAGGGUGCAAGCGUUAAUCGGAAUUACUGGGCGUAAAGAGUGCGUAGGCGGUUGGGUAAGUUAUCUGUGAAAUCCCUGGGCUUAACCUAGGUGGGAAAGAUAAGACUGCUUAACUAGAGUGUGGUAGAGGAUAGUGGAAUUUCCGGUGUAGCGGUGAAAUGCGUAGAGAUCGGAAGGAACACCAGUGGCGAAGGCGGCUAUCUGGACCAACACUGACGCUGAGGCACGAAAGCGUGGGGAGCAAACAGG
RNAcentral lists this ribosomal RNA (253 nucleotides) under uncultured bacterium. RNAcentral describes it as "partial 16S ribosomal RNA". It matches the Rfam family "Bacterial small subunit ribosomal RNA", at positions 524 to 776 of the family's 1533-position model. The record is from RNAcentral.